GAGUUUCUCGAUCUCGAGUUUCAGUUCCCUCCUGGCUGCGGAGUAGUGAGGACAGUGGAGUAAGACGUGCGUCGAGUUUUCUAUUUCUGGACAUCCGUGUGGCCAUUCCGGUUGGAUAUCCAUGUCCCAUUUGCUGAUUGUGCCGUUUAGUUUGUUAUGGCCGCUUCUUAGCCAGAUUAGUGCGGAUUGGAUUGCUCUGUUUUUGUGGGUGUGCCAGCUGGCCACCCCCAUUUUUGUUCGUUGAGUGAUUGCUUGAUUUGGGGAAUUGUUUUUUAUUUUUUCUUGUGUUUUGUGUUGAUGAUUGUUUUUGAUUUUCAUUAGUUGUUCGGCCAUGUUGGGUGUGUGACACAUCGUUUCACCGUCGUCUGCUGUCCUUCUGUUGUUGGCUAGCUGGUCUGCGAUUUCGUUCCCUCUUAUUCCUGCGUGACUAGGGAUGUAGUUGCUUGAUUUCCAUUUGAAGUUGGAAAUGGCAUGGAUUGCUGACUUAGAGUCAGUGUAGAUGGUUAUUUCGGGCCAGUCCUGGUUGUAGGUGAGUGUAUAUACACAGCGCAGGUGGUCUUCUUGGUGGUCUUGAAUGUUGAUCCAUCCGUGUAGAUGUCCAGGUGGUUUUGAUCUUUAUUGCUCUUGGUCUCCAGGAAUGUGGCUGCGUUGUUCCUACUGCUUCUACGUUUGGUGUCUGGGGGAGUGUCAACGGGGCUGCUUGGAUGGAUUUCUUCACUAGGAUCAUUACUCCUCCGCCGUGGGAAUUUCGGUUUCGGUAAAAGGUAUUGAAUGCGGUAAAUUUCGGUAUGUAUUCGUCUCUCCAAAAUGUUUCACUUAGUAAUACAAUAUGUGGAUUCAGGCA
This is a long non-coding RNA of Daphnia pulex (common water flea), 844 nucleotides long. RefSeq lists it as uncharacterized. Lineage: Eukaryota; Metazoa; Arthropoda; Branchiopoda; Diplostraca; Daphniidae. The record is from RefSeq and is a predicted model, not a curated record. The transcript has 4 exons.